This 253-nucleotide ribosomal RNA is filed under the name uncultured bacterium. RNAcentral's name for it is "partial 16S ribosomal RNA". It matches the Rfam family "Bacterial small subunit ribosomal RNA", at positions 524 to 776 of the family's 1533-position model. The record is from RNAcentral.
UACGUAGGGUGCGAGCGUUAAUCGGAAUUACUGGGCGUAAAGCGUGCGCAGGCGGUUUUGUAAGCCAGAUGUGAAAUCCCCGGGCUUAACCUGGGAAUGGCAUUUGGGACUGCAAGGCUUGAGUGCGGCAGAGGAGACUGGAAUUCCUGGUGUAGCAGUGAAAUGCGUAGAUAUCAGGAGGAACACCGAUGGCGAAGGCAGGUCUCUGGGCUGACACUGACGCUCAUGCACGAAAGCGUGGGGAGCGAACAGG